GAUGAUGUACACAAACUUCUUACGUAUACAGGAAGUACUGACAAAGAAGAAAAUGGAUCAUUGGCUGUAUAUUGAUGUAGAAAGUGAGACGAAGUAUCCCUGCACGUGAUGUAUUGAAUUCUACUUUCUUCAAUAUUGUAGUGAAAUGAUUCACUCACCAAAAUAAAUUUUAUUUGUGUACAGAAUGUCUUGUUGUUAUUAAAAAGUUAUGGCUUUACCAUGGCCCUGGGUGGUCUCAUGUUAUUGAGAAUUCUUAGCAAAGUCUUUGUUAUCAACUUACUCUUUGAGCGAUGGAACGAAGCAAUGUUUAUACCGAAGUAUUUGUUUUCCAAUACAUUCUCCAAGUAGCAGCCGAUAUAUGAAGUUUUCAUCUCAGCAAAGCUGCUAUAUUUCCAGAAAUUGUUCAUGCUAGCUGCGUACAAUCCGAACAUAUGUAUGGAGAUAAAUGAGAUGGAUGGAAGACGGUCGGUUGGUGUUCUGCUUUUUGCAGUAAAACAUGUAGUUUUAUAGCUUGCGCACAGAUGGAAUCAAGAGAAAACAGAAAUCUAAUUUACAUUCAGCAAAUAAUUAAUGUGGUACAAAAGGAACUUGCUCAAUUUUUCAUCAAAGAAUGGAACUCUCGUUACAUAUUAACACAUGGAGAAUGGGAUGAUACCAAAAAUAGUGGCAAAAAAUUUUACACUUUAGAAUCAGGUAGGAGGUUGGAUAAAAAUCUACAGUUAAAAUAUCAGGAGGGAGACACCAGUAAGUGGAGCUGCACAACAUUAUUUGAUGCUAUACUUUUUUCAAAUUCAAUUGGAAACCAUCUUGACACAAAAACAAAGGAUGCUGUUCAUGCACUUCGAGUUGAAAGAAGCAAGUACGCACAUUGGUAUGAAAGGGAAUGCUCAGAUGAUGAUUUUGACGAUAUAGUCAAUAUCAUUGAAAAAUCAUUUCAAGAUUUGAAAUUUUCUCUCGA
Molecule: long non-coding RNA, 958 nt
Organism: Xenia sp. Carnegie-2017
Lineage: Eukaryota; Metazoa; Cnidaria; Anthozoa; Malacalcyonacea; Xeniidae
Exons: 5
Source: RefSeq, a predicted model, not a curated record